RNAcentral lists this ribosomal RNA (755 nucleotides) under uncultured bacterium. RNAcentral describes it as "bacterial SSU rRNA". It matches the Rfam family "Bacterial small subunit ribosomal RNA", at positions 28 to 776 of the family's 1533-position model. The record is from RNAcentral.
AUUGAACGCUGGCGGCAUGCCUUACACAUGCAAGUCGAACGGCAGCACGGGUGCUUGCACCUGGUGGCGAGUGGCGAACGGGUGAGUAAUGCAUCGGAACGUACCCUGGAGUGGGGGAUAACUAUCCGAAAGGAUAGCUAAUACCGCAUAUUCUAUGAGUAGGAAAGCGGGGGAUCUUCGGACCUCGCGCUCUGGGAGCGGCCGAUGUCAGAUUAGCUAGUUGGUGGGGUAAAGGCCUACCAAGGCUACGAUCUGUAGCGGGUCUGAGAGGAUGAUCCGCCACACUGGGACUGAGACACGGCCCAGACUCCUACGGGAGGCAGCAGUGGGGAAUUUUGGACAAUGGGGGCAACCCUGAUCCAGCCAUGCCGCGUGAGUGAAGAAGGCCUUCGGGUUGUAAAGCUCUUUCGGCCGGGAAGAAAUCGCCAUCUCUAAUAUAGGUGGUGGAUGACGGUACCGGAAUAAGAAGCACCGGCUAACUACGUGCCAGCAGCCGCGGUAAUACGUAGGGUGCGAGCGUUAAUCGGAAUUACUGGGCGUAAAGCGUGCGCAGGCGGUUUUUUAAGAUAGGCGUGAAAUCCCCGGGCUUAACCUGGGAACUGCGCUUAUGACUGGAAGACUAGAGUACGGCAGAGGGGGGUGGAAUUCCACGUGUAGCAGUGAAAUGCGUAGAGAUGUGGAGGAACACCGAUGGCGAAGGCAGCCCCCUGGGCCGAUACUGACGCUCAUGCACGAAAGCGUGGGGAGCAAACAGG